This 253-nucleotide ribosomal RNA is filed under the name uncultured bacterium. Its description in RNAcentral is "partial 16S ribosomal RNA". It matches the Rfam family "Bacterial small subunit ribosomal RNA", at positions 524 to 776 of the family's 1533-position model. The record is from RNAcentral.
UACGUAGGGUGCGAGCGUUGUCCGGAAUUAUUGGGCGUAAAGAGCUUGUAGGCGGUUUGUCGCGUCUGGCGUGAAAAUCCGGGGCUCAACCCCGGACUUGCGGUGGGUACGGGCAGACUAGAGUGUGGUAGGGGAGACUGGAAUUCCUGGUGUAGAGGUGAAAUGCGCAGAUAUCAGGAGGAACACCGAUGGCGAAGGCAGGUCUCUGGGCCACUACUGACGCUGAGAAGCGAAAGCGUGGGGAGCGAACAGG